This 81-nucleotide microRNA precursor is filed under the name Tetraodon nigroviridis (spotted green pufferfish). Its description in RNAcentral is "miRNA (ENSTNIG00000020205.1)". The record is from RNAcentral. Lineage: Eukaryota; Metazoa; Chordata; Actinopteri; Tetraodontiformes; Tetraodontidae.
GGCGCCUGCGUGCGCGAGUGUGUGUGUGUGUGUGUGUGUGUGUGUGUCUUGUCCAUCAUCCACUCUCAUGACACCCCAACA